CCUACGGGUGACAGCAGUGGGGAAUAUUGCACAAUGGGGGAAACCCUGAUGCAGCAACGCCGCGUGAGUGAAGAAGUAUUUCGGUAUGUAAAGCUCUAUCAGCAGGGAAGAAGAAAGACGGUACCUGACUCAGCAGCCACGGCUAACUACGGGCCAGCAGCUGCGGUAAUACGUAGGGGGCAAGCGUUAUCCGGAUUUACUGGGUGGAAGGGGAGCGUAGACGGAUGGGCAAGUCUGAAGUGAAAGCCCGUGGCUCAACCGCGGAACUGCUUUGGAAACUGUAUAGCUUGAGUACUGGAGAGGCAGGCGGAAUUCCUAGUGUAGCGGUGAAAUGCGUAGAUAUUAGGAGGAACAC
This 355-nucleotide ribosomal RNA is filed under the name uncultured bacterium. RNAcentral describes it as "partial 16S ribosomal RNA". It matches the Rfam family "Bacterial small subunit ribosomal RNA", at positions 338 to 709 of the family's 1533-position model. The record is from RNAcentral.